RNAcentral lists this ribosomal RNA (308 nucleotides) under Alphaproteobacteria bacterium. RNAcentral's name for it is "bacterial SSU rRNA". It matches the Rfam family "Bacterial small subunit ribosomal RNA", at positions 1 to 339 of the family's 1533-position model. The record is from RNAcentral. Lineage: Bacteria; Pseudomonadati; Pseudomonadota; Alphaproteobacteria.
AAACUUGAGAGUUUGAUCCUGGCUCAGAACGAACGCUGGCGGCAGGCCUAACACAUGCAAGUCGAACGAACCUUCGGGUUAGUGGCGCACGGGUGAGGAACACGUGGGAAUAUACACUUCGGUGCGGAACAACGUCUGGAAACGGACGCUAAUACCGCAUAAUGACUCCGGUCCAAAGAUUUAUCGCCGAAGAAUUAGCCCGCGUCUGAUUAGUUUGUUGGUGGGGUAACGGCCUACCGAAACGACGAUCAGUAGCUGGUCUGAGAGGAUGAUCAGCCACACUGGUACUGAGACACGGACCAGACUCC